GAUGAACGCUGGCGGCGUGCCUAAUACAUGCAAGUCGAGCGAAUGGAUUGAGAGCUUGCUCUUAUGAAGUUAGCGGCGGACGGGUGAGUAACACGUGAGUAACCUGCCCAUAAGACUGGGAUAACUCCGGGAAACCGGGGCUAAUACCGGAUAACAUUUUGAACCGCAUGGUUCGAAACUGAAAGGCGGCUUCGGCUGUCACUUAUGGAUGGACCCGCGUCGCAUUAGCUAGUUGGUGAGGUAACGGCUCACCAAGGCAACGAUGCGUAGCCGACCUGAGAGGGCGAUCGGCCACACUGGGACUGAGACACGGCCCAGACUCCUACGGGAGGCAGCAGUAGGGAAUCUUCCGCAAUGGACGAAAGUCUGACGGAGCAACGCCGCGUGAGUGAUGAAGGCUUUCGGGUCGUAAAACUCUGUUGUUAGGGAAGAACAAGUGCUAGUUGAAUAAGCUGGCACCUUGACGGUACCUAACCAGAAAGCCACGGCUAACUACGUGCCAGCAGCCGCCGUAA
This 515-nucleotide ribosomal RNA is filed under the name uncultured bacterium. RNAcentral's name for it is "partial 16S ribosomal RNA". It matches the Rfam family "Bacterial small subunit ribosomal RNA", at positions 28 to 523 of the family's 1533-position model. The record is from RNAcentral.